RNAcentral lists this ribosomal RNA (1238 nucleotides) under Salmonella enterica. RNAcentral describes it as "partial 23S ribosomal RNA". It matches the Rfam family "Bacterial large subunit ribosomal RNA", at positions 29 to 1305 of the family's 2925-position model. The record is from RNAcentral. Lineage: Bacteria; Pseudomonadati; Pseudomonadota; Gammaproteobacteria; Enterobacterales; Enterobacteriaceae.
UGCCCUGGCAGUCAGAGGCGAUGAAGGGCGUGCUAAUCUGCGAUAAGCGCCGGUAAGGUGAUAUGAACCGUUAUAACCGGCGAUACCCGAAUGGGGAAACCCAGUGUGAUUCGUCACACUAUCAUUAACUGAAUCCAUAGGUUAAUGAGGCGAACCGGGGGAACUGAAACAUCUAAGUACCCCGAGGAAAAGAAAUCAACCGAGAUUCCCCCAGUAGCGGCGAGCGAACGGGGAGGAGCCCAGAGCCUGAAUCAGCAUGUGUGUUAGUGGAAGCGUCUGGAAAGGCGCGCGAUACAGGGUGACAGCCCCGUACACAAAAGCGCAUGUGCUGUGAGCUCGAUGAGUAGGGCGGGACACGUGGUAUCCUGUCUGAAUAUGGGGGGACCAUCCUCCAAGGCUAAAUACUCCUGACUGACCGAUAGUGAACCAGUACCGUGAGGGAAAGGCGAAAAGAACCCCGGCGAGGGGAGUGAAAAAGAACCUGAAACCGUGUACGUACAAGCAGUGGGAGCACCCUUUAGGGGUGUGACUGCGUACCUUUUGUAUAAUGGGUCAGCGACUUAUAUUCUGUAGCAAGGUUAACCGAAUAGGGGAGCCGGAGGGAAACCGAGUCUUAACCGGGCGUUAAGUUGCAGGGUAUAGACCCGAAACCCGGUGAUCUAGCCAUGGGCAGGUUGAAGGUUGGGUAACACUAACUGGAGGACCGAACCGACUAAUGUUGAAAAAUUAGCGGAUGACCUGUGGCUGGGGGUGAAAGGCCAAUCAAACCGGGAGAUAGCUGGUUCUCCCCGAAAGCUAUUUAGGUAGCGCCUCGUGAAUUCAUCUCCGGGGGUAGAGCACUGUUUCGGCUAGGGGGCCAUCCCGGCUUACCAACCCGAUGCAAACUGCGAAUACCGGAGAAUGUUAUCACGGGAGACACACGGCGGGUGCUAACGUCCGUCGUGAAGAGGGAAACAACCCAGACCGCCAGCUAAGGUCCCAAAGUCAUGGUUAAGUGGGAAACGAUGUGGGAAGGCCCAGACAGCCAGGAUGUUGGCUUAGAAGCAGCCAUCAUUUAAAGAAAGCGUAAUAGCUCACUGGUCGAGUCGGCCUGCGCGGAAGAUGUAACGGGGCUAAACCAUGCACCGAAGCUGCGGCAGCGACACUCAUGUGUUGUUGGGUAGGGGAGCGUUCUGUAAGCCUGUGAAGGUGUGUCGUGAGGCAUGCUGGAGGUAUCAGAAGUGCGAAUGCUGACAUAA